CGAGCGAACGGACGAGAAGCUUGCUUCUCUGAUGUUAGCGGCGGACGGGUGAGUAACACGUGGAUAACCUACCUAUAAGACUGGGAUAACUUCGGGAAACCGGAGCUAAUACCGGAUAAUAUCUUGAACCGCAUGGUUCAAAAGUGAAAGACGGUCUUGCUGUCACUUAUAGAUGGAUCCGCGCUGCAUUAGCUAGUUGGUAAGGUAACGGCUUACCAAGGCAACGAUGCAUAGCCGACCUGAGAGGGUGAUCGGCCACACUGGAACUGAGACACGGUCCAGACUCCUACGGGAGGCAGCAGUAGGGAAUCUUCCGUAAUGGGCGAAAGCCUGACGGAGCAACGCCGCGUGAGUGAUGAAGGUCUUCGGAUCGUAAAACUCUGUUAUUAGGGAAGAACAUAUGUGUAAGUAACUGUGCACAUCUUGACGGUACCUAAUCAGAAAGCCACGGCUAACUACGUGCCAGCAGCCGCGGUAAUACGUAGGUGGCAAGCGUUAUCCGGAAUUAUUGGGCGUAAAGCGCGCGUAGGCGGUUUUUUAAGUCUGAUGUGAAAGCCCACGGCUCAACCGUGGAGGGUCAUUGGAAACUGGAAAGCUUGAGUGCAGAAGAGGAAAGUGGAAUUCCAUGUGUAGCGGUGAAAUGCGCAGAGAUAUGGAGGAACACCAGUGGCGAAGGCGACUUUCUGGUCUGUAACUGACGCUGAUGUGCGAAAGCGUGGGGAUCAAACAGGAUUA
RNAcentral lists this ribosomal RNA (735 nucleotides) under uncultured Staphylococcus sp. Its description in RNAcentral is "bacterial SSU rRNA". It matches the Rfam family "Bacterial small subunit ribosomal RNA", at positions 63 to 780 of the family's 1533-position model. Lineage: Bacteria; Bacillati; Bacillota; Bacilli; Caryophanales; Staphylococcaceae. The record is from RNAcentral.